This 86-nucleotide long non-coding RNA is filed under the name Aotus nancymaae (Ma's night monkey). RNAcentral describes it as "lncRNA (ENSANAG00000039377.1)". Lineage: Eukaryota; Metazoa; Chordata; Mammalia; Primates; Aotidae. The record is from RNAcentral.
GUGGUGUGUGCAUGUGUGUGGUGUGUACGGCUGUGUGUGUGGCGUAUGGGUGUGUGGUGUGUGCAUGUGUGUGGUGUGUACGGCUG